Molecule: ribosomal RNA, 406 nt
Filed under: uncultured bacterium
Lineage: Bacteria
Description: partial 16S ribosomal RNA
Rfam family: Bacterial small subunit ribosomal RNA
Source: RNAcentral
AUUGAACGCUGGCGGCAUGCCUAACACAUGCAAGUCGGGCGAGCGGCGGACGGGUGAGUAAUGUCUGAGAAACUGCCUGAUGGAGGGGGAUAACUACUGGAAACGGUAGCUAAUACCGCAUACCAUCAGAUGUGCCCAGAUGGGAUUAGCUAGUAGGUGGGGUAAGGGCUCACCUAGGCGACGAUCCGUAACUGGUCUGAGUGGAUGACCCGCCACACGGGAACUGAGACACGGUCCAGACUCCUACGGGAGGCAGCAGUGGGGAAUAUUGGACAAUGGGCGAAAGCCUGAUCCAGCCAUGCCGCGUGUGUGAAGAAGGUCUUCGGAUUGUAAAGCACUGUAAUUUGGGAGGCGUUACCAACAGAAUAAGCACCGGCUAACUACGUGCCAGCAGCCGCGGUAAUUC